Molecule: long non-coding RNA, 2234 nt
Filed under: Mus musculus (house mouse)
Lineage: Eukaryota; Metazoa; Chordata; Mammalia; Rodentia; Muridae
Description: long non-coding RNA chr12:4652815-4655049
Source: RNAcentral
GUGUCUCCUCAUACAGUUGGAGUCCAAUCUAACAUACUUCUGUAGUGCAUCUACUUUUAGAUGAGUAAGCUUUUGGGUCCAUGAUCGUGAUGCAGUGCAUUCAUAUUUUUUAACAAACUAUUUUUAAAUGUAUCAAGUCUGGUAUGGUUGUGAGUCCUUCUAUUUUCCCCUUAGAACAAACGGGUAAAUGUGCAGAUGUAUCUUCAUCCAGUCCUGUUUACUCAUUAGUCUCCUGUGGCUUCCCUUGUGUGCACUCUUCCUCUGUUGUGGUCUCUCCUCCAUUGAUCUGACCAUGUCUCUCCCUGCUUAGGUGCCUUGCACCAUGGAUAGCUUGGCCUGCGACUCCCACCCUCCCUUAGAUCCGUGCGCAUGCCUCAGUCUGUGAGGUAUCACUUUGUUCAGCUGCCUCCCACAUCACUUGAGAUAAGCAUUCGUCUUUGGUUUAUAGUGACUCCCCGAGUAGUCACAAUAUCUGGAUCCUUAUAAGUCUAACUCAAGCAGGGCUUUGUUAUACUGUUUGAUGCUUACUUUUUUUGUUUGUUUGUUUUAGAUUUUUAAGAGCUCUUUAUAGUCAUAAUAAUGAUGUAUAUACUCUAAAGUAGCAAAUUAUGGGAAUUAUCUUUUCUUCAGGUGAGACAGCCAGUGCUUUGGUGAAUUACAGAGCACUGUACCCUUUUGAAGCAAGAAACCAUGAUGAGAUGAGUUUUAGUUCUGGGGAUAUAAUUCAGGUAAGAAAUGAAAGCCUUUCUACUCAUGAGUAAGCUAAUCACAAAUCAUUGUACCAUGUUUUCUACAAGGUUAACUUUGAUUUUUAUGUAUUGCUAAAAAUAUUUUAAAACAUUAUCUCACUUAGCCCUUGCAAGCAUCUCUCAGAGCUGUACAGGGCAGUAAUUACUACCAUAAUAUUACCAAAAACGAAAACUUAAGCUCAGACACAUUGUAACUGUCAGCAUUGUGGUGACAGAGUGCAGAGAAAGUAUGUCUUUUGGUUCUGAGUCUAGUGUUCUUUCCACUGUGCCAUAUCAGCUCACCAAAUCAUAAGAGAUGGCACCACUUGUGGUGUUUUAAUAAAUGAACAGUAAAAUUUGGAGGGUUGAUUAUUUUCUACCAACUGUUAAGAAUGUAAAGUUAAGUUCUGCAGUCCUGACUGAAUUUUGGCCAUUUGUUCUUUGGAACAAAUGGUCUUUGCUGUAUUAUCAUAACUCAUGUGAAGUAGAUUAAUAAGAAAAUACAUAGAGAAUCACAUUGAUAAAGGUAUUAUAAUAUGCUGGAAAAGCAUAGGCUUUAAAAGUCAUCCAUUAGGGCGGAGCUGAGACCCAGACCUCUCUGCACCUUCCCUGCCAGAAGAGAGUCGGCCUCCAGGGAGGGCUCUGACCCCAGGACUCAUCUUGUAUCCCAGGUCUCUUAGAGACCAGACCGCUCAGGAGAGCGUGUGGGUUGCAGAAGCAAGAUGGCUUCUUGGACAGGGUCCCUUCAGGCCUUCAUCUUCAGCCAGGAAGCAGAGCUGAGCUCCAGACCUCUGUGCACCUUCCCUGCCAGAGGAGAGCUUGCCUGCAGAGAGUGCUCUGACCACUGGGACUCAGGAGAGAGUUGGACUCCCAGGAGUGCUGACAGAGGCUAAUAGAAUCACAGGAGGAACAAGCUCCAGCCAGAGAAAGCUAGAACAUCUAACACCAGAGAUUACCAGAUGGCAAAAGGUAAGAAUCUUACUAACAGAAACUAAGACCAGUUGGCAUCAUCAGAACCCAGAACUCCCACCACAGUGAGUCUUGGAUACCCCCAACACACCCGAAAAGCAAGAUUCAGAUUUAAAAUCAUAUCUCAUGAUGCUGAUAGAGGAUUUUAAGAAGGGCAUUAAUAACUCACUUAAAGAAAUACAGGAGAACACUUCUAAAUAGGUAGAAGUACUUAAAGAAGAAGCACAAAAAUCCCUUAAAGAAUUACAGGAAAACACUGCUAAACAGGUAGAAGUCCUUAAAGAAGAAACACAAAAAAAUCCCUUAAAGAAUUAUAGGAAAACACAACCAAACAGGUGAUGGAAUUAAACAAAACCAUCCAAGAUAUAAAAAUGGAAGUAGAAACAAUAAAGAAAACUCAAAGUGAGGCAACACUGGAGAUAGAAACCCUAGGAAAGAGAUCUGGAACCAUAGAUGCAAGCAUCAGCAACAGAAUACAAGAGAUGGAAGAGAGAAUCUCAGGUGGAGAAGAUUCCAUAGGAAACAUGGACACAACAG